Molecule: ribosomal RNA, 460 nt
Filed under: uncultured bacterium
Lineage: Bacteria
Description: partial 16S ribosomal RNA
Rfam family: Bacterial small subunit ribosomal RNA
Source: RNAcentral
CCUACGGGUGGCUGCAGUGAGGAAUAUUGGUCAAUGGACGGAAGUCUGAACCAGCCAUGCCGCGUGCAGGAAGACGGCUCUAUGAGUUGUAAACUGCUUUUGUACAAGGGUAAACCUGAAUACGUGUACUCUGCUGAAUGUACCUUACGAAUAAGGAUCGGCUAACUCCGUGCCAGCAGCCGCGGUAAUACGGAGGAUCCAAGCGUUAUCCGGAUUUAUUGGGUUUAAAGGGUGCGUAGGCGGAUUGUUAAGUUAGAGGUGAAAUGCCCGGGCUUAACUCGGGAACUGCCUCUAAUACUGUUGAUCUAGAGAGUGGAUGCGGUAGGCGGAAUGUGUGGUGUAGCGGUGAAAUGCUUAGAGAUCAUGCAGAACACCGAGUGCGAAGGCAGCUUGCCAAGCUAUGUCUGACGUUGAGGCACGAAAGCGUGGGGAGCAAACAGGAGUUGAUACCCCUGUAGUC